This 727-nucleotide ribosomal RNA is filed under the name Lutibacter sp. RNAcentral describes it as "bacterial SSU rRNA". It matches the Rfam family "Bacterial small subunit ribosomal RNA", at positions 28 to 746 of the family's 1533-position model. Lineage: Bacteria; Pseudomonadati; Bacteroidota; Flavobacteriia; Flavobacteriales; Flavobacteriaceae. The record is from RNAcentral.
GAUGAACGCUAGCGGCAGGCUUAACACAUGCAAGUCGAGGGGUAACAGGGAAGAGCUUGCUUUUCUGCUGACGACCGGCGCACGGGUGCGUAACGCGUAUAGAACCUACCUUUUACAGGGGAAUAGCCCAGAGAAAUUUGGAUUAAUGCCCCAUAGUAUUAUUGAAUGGCAUCAUUUAAUAAUUAAACAUUUAUGGGUAAAAGAUGGCUAUGCGUUCUAUUAGCUAGAUGGUAAGGUAACGGCUUACCAUGGCAACGAUAGAUAGGGGUCCUGAGAGGGAGAUCCCCCACACUGGUACUGAGACACGGACCAGACUCCUACGGGAGGCAGCAGUGAGGAAUAUUGGACAAUGGAGGCAACUCUGAUCCAGCCAUGCCGCGUGCAGGAAGACGGUCCUAUGGAUUGUAAACUGCUUUUAUAUAGGAAGAAACCUUUCCACGUGUGGAAAGCUGACGGUACUAUAAGAAUAAGCACCGGCUAACUCCGUGCCAGCAGCCGCGGUAAUACGGAGGGUGCAAGCGUUAUCCGGAAUCAUUGGGUUUAAAGGGUCCGUAGGCGGACUAAUAAGUCAGGGGUGAAAUCCAACAGCUUAACUGUUGAACUGCCUUUGAUACUGUUAGUCUUGAGUUAUAUGGAAGUAGAUAGAAUAUGUAGUGUAGCGGUGAAAUGCUUAGAGAUUACAUAGAAUACCGAUUGCGAAGGCAGUCUACUACGUAUAUACUGACGC